AUCGGUGUUAUACUUGCGCCCCCCGAAAAUUCCGAACGUCGUAUUCCCGCUGUAUUACAGCCGUGCGCGCGCGCGCCUAAUUUUGCCUCGAGAAAAUUCGAUGAAAUAUCGCGAUGUACAGGUUUAUAUAAGCCACAGCGAGGCGCGAAUCGACGUCAGUAAAAUUACGAUCAUGGGCUCGGUCUAAUCGACGACUCAGUCAAAUCACGGCGAUGCGGGAGUAUGGAUUUUAGCAGGGUGCACGAUCUUCAACGCACAUGAUAGUAACUGCCAUCAAACAUGCUGUUGUCAUUAUGUAAUUUGACCAGGUCGGUCGAUUGGGCAACUAAUGGGAACAAUUUUACUGAACACUUCAAAUCUUUUCUUUAACUAUAAAAUGUACAUCUUUCUAUUAUUCAUUUGUACAGAAAAAUGUAAAUUCAUUCGCAGCCAAUAACUGCGAUGCCUGUAAGUUUUAGUUUUAAGUGAUAUUUUGUAAAUUUAGAUUCUAGUUUGUAAAAAAUUGCAUGCAGCGUCACAGCUGUAUUCUUGUUAAAAUUUGACGUUCAGAUUUCGUAAAAUCAAGUCGCAUUAGUUGAUAUCUUUAUUUCGGUACAUUUUGAAAUGUCGGUAAAACGCCAGAAUAACUGUUCAAAGAUUUUUCACAAAUUUAAUCAGCUGAAAUUUUGAUUAAUUAAUUCCACAGUUGUUACUGGAGUAAUGUAAAUCAACUUUUAACAUCUUUACUUGAUAGAUUAAAAUGUACGAAUGAUUAGAUCUGCAAGAUCUUAAUAUUAGUCAUUUAAGAUUAUAUUUGUACAUUAUUCUCGCAACAAACUUUAGUAACACUUGCUCACAAACUUCUAACUGUAACAUUUCUUAUAUUUACUAUUAAAUAAAGUUUAAUUCUUAUCCUAA
Molecule: long non-coding RNA, 897 nt
Organism: Trichogramma pretiosum
Lineage: Eukaryota; Metazoa; Arthropoda; Insecta; Hymenoptera; Trichogrammatidae
Exons: 5
Source: RefSeq, a predicted model, not a curated record